This 442-nucleotide ribosomal RNA is filed under the name uncultured bacterium. RNAcentral's name for it is "partial 16S ribosomal RNA". It matches the Rfam family "Bacterial small subunit ribosomal RNA", at positions 338 to 795 of the family's 1533-position model. The record is from RNAcentral.
CCUACGGGAGGCAGCAGUGGGGGAUAUUGGACAAUGGGGGAAACCCUGAUCCAGCGACGCCGCGUGAGUGAAGAAGUAUUUCGGUAUGUAAAGCUCUGUCAGCAGGGAAGAAAGAAAUGACGGUACCUGACCAAGAAGCCCCGGCUAACUACGUGCCAGCAGCCGCGGUAAUAUGUAGGGGGCAAGCAUUAUCAGGAAUUACUGGUUGGAAAGGGAGCGUAGACGGUGAGGAAAGUCUGGGGUGAAAGGCGGGGGCCCAACCCCCGGCCUGCUCUGGAAACUGUGUAACUUGAGGGCGGUGGAGGUAAGCGGAAUUCCUAGUGUAGCGGUGAAUGCGUAGAUAUUAGGAGGAACACCAGUGGCGAAGGCGGCUUACUGGACUGUAACUGACGUUGAGGCUCGAAAGCGUGGGGAGCAAACAGGAUUAGAUACCCCUGUAGUC